Candidatus Micrarchaeota archaeon CG1_02_55_41 is the source of this 74-nucleotide non-coding RNA. NCBI's taxonomy places the organism in Archaea, Nanobdellati, Microcaldota. The record is from Rfam.
GGGCUGGUAGAUCAGACUGGUAGAUCGCGUGCUUCGCAAGCACGAGGCCGCGGGUUCAAAUCCCGUCCAGUCCA